UACGUAGGGUCCGAGCGUUGUCCGGAAUUAUUGGGCGUAAAGGGCUCGUAGGCGGUCUGUCACGUCGGGAGUGAAAACUCGGGGCUUAACCCCGAGCCUGCUUCCGAUACGGGCAGACUAGAGGUAUGCAGGGGAGAACGGAAUUCCUGGUGUAGCGGUGAAAUGCGCAGAUAUCAGGAGGAACGCCGGUGGCGAAGGCGGUUCUCUGGGCAUUACCUGACGCUGAGGAGCGAAAGUGUGGGGAGCGAACAGG
Molecule: ribosomal RNA, 253 nt
Filed under: uncultured bacterium
Lineage: Bacteria
Description: partial 16S ribosomal RNA
Rfam family: Bacterial small subunit ribosomal RNA
Source: RNAcentral